RNAcentral lists this ribosomal RNA (440 nucleotides) under uncultured bacterium. RNAcentral's name for it is "partial 16S ribosomal RNA". It matches the Rfam family "Bacterial small subunit ribosomal RNA", at positions 338 to 795 of the family's 1533-position model. The record is from RNAcentral.
CCUACGGGAGGCAGCAGUGGGGAAUCUUGCACAAUGGGGGAAACCCUGAUGCAGCGACGCCGCGUGAGUGAAUAAGUAAUUCGGUAUGUAAAGCUCUAUCAGCAGGGAAGAAAAUGACGGUACCUGAAUAACAAGCCCCGGCUAACUACGUGCCAGCAGCCGCGGUAAUACGGAGGCGGCAAGCGUUAUCCGGAUUUACUGGGUGUAAAGGGAGCGUAGACGGCAGUGUAAGUCUGGAGUGAAAGGCGGGGGCUCAACCCCCGGACUGCUCUGGAAACUGUACGGCUGGAGUGCAGGAGAGGUAAGUGGAAUGCCUGGUGUAGCAGUGAAAUGCGUAGAUAUUAGGAGGAACACUAGUGGCGAAGGCGGCUUACUGGACUUUAACUGACGUUGAGGCUCGAAAGCGAGGGGAGCAAACAGGAUUAGAUACCCUGGUAGUC